Molecule: non-coding RNA, 789 nt
Organism: Lepisosteus oculatus (spotted gar)
Lineage: Eukaryota; Metazoa; Chordata; Actinopteri; Semionotiformes; Lepisosteidae
Source: RefSeq, a predicted model, not a curated record
UUAUCCUGAUAAUUUUUUUGGAGUGACUCUUGUCUGUCUGACCUUCUAUAAACUUCAGUUUACCCUCGGAUUGCCAUAUAAGUGUGCUCACACAAUGCUGAAUAACUAUUAUUAUUAAACAAUUAUUAUUAACUAUUAUUAUUAACCAAUCACCUAACAUCUUAUCUGAGUUUUAGUUAAUUGUGAUUUCCUAUGGAAACUACAUAUGAUGAUGCACAGUAGCAAUUAACCAUUAGUAGAGACUGUUUAAUACCAGGUUACUGAAUGCUAUAGAAUUUAUUAAUGCUGUUUGUGAACCUCUGAUCCCACAACUGCUACUCAGAAAUCUGUUCUUCUACUUUGAGAUAAGGAAAGUGACAAAAGUGCAACAGCUCCUGGGUCAGACAGGCAAAGGAGGAGAAACAGUAAUGACUUUGAACGCCCAAAGUUGAAAGAAAAGGAGCACACCUCAGGAGACGAGAGUUGAAAAAAAUAACGAUUCGUGCCAGAUCAGUGGAGAAUGGAAGAGACCACAGAGGCAUCAGAGAGAAGAGAGUAAUGGCAGCAGACCAAGUCCCGGUGGAUCUCAUUCUUUUUGAAGAAUCAGCUGUCAUUCAAAGGAGGUCCCUCCACGGUCAGGAAUCAAGAGCACUGCUUGUAAUGCCCCUCUUUGCAAUGUUUCUCAUUAACCGGCUUACAAGAUUUGUAUUAUACGAUUUCCCCUGGGUGGAGAGAGUUCUGGCGCACUAUGGCUGCCGUCACAUCAUCCAGGUGGGGGCUACACAUCGGUGGUGGAGGAGGGGAGUCCCC